AUUGCCCUAGUAACGGCGAGUGAAGCGGCAACAGCUCAAAUUUGAAAUCUGGCUCUUUUAGAGUCCGAGUUGUAAUUUGCAGAGGGCGCUUUGGCUUUGGCAGCGGUCCAAGUUCCUUGGAACAGGACGUCACAGAGGGUGAGAAUCCCGUACGUGGUCGCUGGCUAUUGCCGUGUAAAGCCCCUUCGACGAGUCGAGUUGUUUGGGAAUGCAGCUCUAAAUGGGAGGUACAUUUCUUCUAAAGCUAAAUAUUGGCCAGAGACCGAUAGCGCACAAGUAGAGUGAUCGAAAGAUGAAAAGCACUUUGGAAAGAGAGUCAAACAGCACGUGAAAUUGUUGAAAGGGAAGCGCUUGCAGCCAGACUUGCUUACAGUUGCUCAUCCGGGUUUCUACCCGGUGCACUCUUCUGUAGGCAGGCCAGCAUCAGUUUGGGCGGUAGGAUAAAGGUCUCUGUCACGUACCUCCUUUCGGGGAGGCCUUAUAGGGGAGACGACAUACUACCAGCCUGGACUGAGGUCCGCGCAUCUGCUAGGAUGCUGGCGUAAUGGCUGUAAGCGGCCCGUCUUGAAACACGGACCAAGGAGUCUAACAUCUAUGCGAGUGUUUGGGUGUCAAGCCCGAGCGCGUAAUGAAAGUGAACGGAGGUGGGAACCCGCAAGGGUGCACCAUCGACCGAUCCUGAUGUCUUCGGAAGGAUUUGAGUAAGAGCAUGGCUGUUGGGACCCGAAAGAUGGUGAACUAUGCUUGAAUAGGGUGAAGCCAGAGGAAAACUCUGGUGGAGGCUCGCAGCGGUUCUGACGUGCAAAUCGAUCGUCAAAUUUGGGCAUAGGGGCGAAAGACUAAUCGAACUAUCUAGUAGCUGGUUUCCUGCCGAAAGUUUCCCCUCAGGAUAGCAGUAACGUAUUUCAGUUUUAUGAGGUAAAGC
Molecule: ribosomal RNA, 925 nt
Filed under: uncultured fungus
Lineage: Eukaryota; Fungi
Description: LSU rRNA
Rfam family: Eukaryotic large subunit ribosomal RNA
Source: RNAcentral